This 253-nucleotide ribosomal RNA is filed under the name uncultured prokaryote. RNAcentral describes it as "partial 16S ribosomal RNA". It matches the Rfam family "Bacterial small subunit ribosomal RNA", at positions 525 to 777 of the family's 1533-position model. The record is from RNAcentral.
ACGAGGGGGGCAAAUGUUGUUCGGAAUCACUGGGCGUAAAGGGAGCGUAGGCGGUUUUUUAAGUUAGGUGUUUAAUCCCGGGGCCCAACCCCGGACAGGCACCUAAAACUGGAAAACUUGAAUAGUGGAGAGGACGGCGGAAUUGGGGGUGUAGCGGUGGAAUGCGUAGAGAUCCCCAAGAACACCAGUUGCGAAGGCGGCCGUCUGGACACAUAUUGACGCUGAGGCUCGAAAGCAUGGGGAGCAAACAGGA